CUGCUCAUUUCAGCAGCAUAUAUACUAAAAUUAGAAUGAUAUAGAAAAUAUUAGCAUGGUUCCUUUGCAAGAAUAACACACGAAUUCAUGAAGCAUUCUGUAUUAAA
This is a small nuclear RNA of Ailuropoda melanoleuca (giant panda), 107 nucleotides long. The record is from Ensembl. NCBI's taxonomy places the organism in Eukaryota, Metazoa, Chordata, Mammalia, Carnivora, Ursidae.